AUGAACGCUGGCGGCGUGCCUAAUACCUGCAAGUCGCGCGAACAGACGAGGAGCUUGCUCCCCUGACGUUAGCGGCGGACGGGUGAGUAACACGUGGAUAACCUACCUAUAAGACUGGGAUAACUUCGGGAAACCGGAGCUAAUACCGGAUAAUAUAUUGAACCGCAUGGUUCAAUAGUGAAAGACGGUUUUGCUGUCACUUAUAGAUGGAUCCGCGCCGCAUUAGCUAGUUGGUAAGGUAACGGCUUACCAAGGCAACGAUGCGUAGCCGACCUGAGAGGGUGAUCGGCCACACUGGAACUGAGACACGGUCCAGACUCCUACGGGAGGCAGCAGUAGGGAAUCUUCCGCAAUGGGCGAAAGCCUGACGGAGCAACGCCGCGUGAGUGAUGAAGGUCUUCGGAUCGUAAAACUCUGUUAUUAGGGAAGAACAAAUGUGUAAGUAACUAUGCACGUCUUGACGGUACCUAAUCAGAAAGCCACGGCUAACUACGUG
Molecule: ribosomal RNA, 496 nt
Filed under: uncultured bacterium
Lineage: Bacteria
Description: partial 16S ribosomal RNA
Rfam family: Bacterial small subunit ribosomal RNA
Source: RNAcentral